UUUCGUCUGCAAACUGAGAGGAUGAGAAUCUCCAAAGGAGGUUUGAGCCGAACGUAGUGAGACCACGUUGCUUUGGCAACGGCCCGCAGGGCGCGCAUCAACGAUGCGCGUAAUCCUCUCUCGCCGACCA
This 130-nucleotide small RNA is filed under the name Serratia marcescens. RNAcentral describes it as "RtT sRNA". It matches the Rfam family "RtT RNA". Rfam says of the family: This family represents a bacterial cis-regulatory element known as RtT RNA. The record is from RNAcentral. Lineage: Bacteria; Pseudomonadati; Pseudomonadota; Gammaproteobacteria; Enterobacterales; Yersiniaceae.